RNAcentral lists this ribosomal RNA (2925 nucleotides) under Triticum aestivum (bread wheat). RNAcentral describes it as "partial small subunit ribosomal RNA". Lineage: Eukaryota; Viridiplantae; Streptophyta; Magnoliopsida; Poales; Poaceae. The record is from RNAcentral.
AUGGCAAAUUGCCUGGUACUGGUGCAGUCUCCCUCCUCUUUCUUCUUCCCCUUCGUUCUCCUGUCGGCUGCGCUGGUUUCGUACCAGGUGAGCAUGGUGGCCACGGCGCAGAACGCGCUGCCCGCUCAGGCCCGCGUCGGUGUCAUCCUGGAUUUGACGACGCCGGUCGGGCGCAGGCGGCGGACCGGCAUCCAGAUGGCGGUGGAGGACUAUUACGCCGCGCACCCCAGCUCGGCCACGAGGGUGGCGCUCCAUUUCAGGGACUCCGCGGGGGACCCUCUUCGCGCCGCUUCUGCUGCGGUGGACCUGAUCAAGAACGCGCAGGCGCAGGCGAUCAUUGGGCCUCCGACCUCUGCUGAGGCCGAGUUCGUGGCCCGCAUCGGCGACCACGCCCGCGUCCCGGUCAUCUCCUACUCCGCCACCUCCCCCACGUUGACCCCCGUGCAGACGCCUUUCUUCGUGCGCACGGCGGCCAACGACUCCUUCCAGACGGCGCCCGUCGCGGCCGUCCUCGGCGCCUUCAGUUGGCGCGCGGCGGUCGUCGUGUACGAGGACACGCCCUACGGGACCGGCAUCCUCCCGGCGCUCUCCGACGCGCUCCAGGGCGUCGGCACCAAGAUCAUGGACCGCACGGCCGUGCCCAGUGACGCGGACGACGCCCGACUCGACGCCGUGCUGUACCACUUCAUGGCGAUGCCGACGCGCGUGUUCGUCGUGCACAUGCUCUAUCCUCUCGCCGCGCGGCUCUUCCGCCGCGCGAAGAAGGCUGGCAUGAUGUCCCAGGAGUACGUCUGGGUCGCCACGGACGGGGUCGGCAGCUUCAUGGACAGGCUCAGCCCCGAGGACGUCGACGCGAUGCAGGGCGUCGUCAGCCUCCAGCCUUACGUGCAGCUGACGGAUGCCGCCAAGAACUUCUCGGCACGGCUGAUGGCGAGGUCCCGGCGGGAGAAUCCGGCAGAUGGGGGUGUUGCCGACUCAACCUUGAUGAGGCUAUGGUCGUACGACACGGCAUGGGCAAUCGCUGCGGCGGUCGAGACGGCCCGCGUCCCCAGCCCGGCGUUCCAGACGCCUGGAGGGACCACGGCGCUGACGGACUUGGACCGGCUCGGCGUGUCGGCCACCGGAACAGCACUUCUCAAGGCGGUGCUCGCCACGACGUUCGAAGGUAUAGCCGGCAAGUUCAAGAUGGUAGACGGGCAGCUGCAGCUGCCGGCGUAUGAGGUGGUGAACAUCAUCGGCAGAGGAGCCAGGACGGUCGGCUUCUGGACGCCGGAGUUCGGGAUCACGCAAGAUCGAUCUGAACCCCAACAGCGCCAAGGCGCUGAGACAUGGUCCGCUCCGAAAGGCUGGACCGUGUCACCGAAUGGGCGGAUGCUCCUGGUGGCCGUGCCGGCGAAGAACGGGUUCAAGCAGUUCGUGGACGUCUCCCAGAAUUCCACAACCGGAGAGGAGAAGAUCACAGGCUAUUGCAUCGACGUGUUCGAUGAGGUCAUGAAGAAUCUCCCCUAUCCUGUGAGCUACCGGUACGUGCCGCAGAAUGUUAGCUUGGAUUCUUAUGACAAACUGGUGGACCUGGUACGCGAUCAGAAAUUCGACCUGGUCGUGGGAGACGUGACGGUGACCGCGAGCAGGAUGGCCGAAGUGGACUUCACGAUGCCAUUCACCGAGUCGGGGUGGUCGAUGGUCGUGGCGGCGCAGGAGGACACGGGCUCAAACAUGUGGGUCUUCGUGCGGCCGCUAAGCACAGGCCUCUGGCUCGCCAGCCUCGGCUUCUUCUGCUUCACCGGCUUUGUCGUGUGGGUGAUCGAGCACCGGAUCAACCCCGAGUUUCGAGGCACGCCCUGCCAGCAGUUCGGCCUCAUCUUCUACUUCGCCUUCUCGACUCUCACUUUCUCACACAGGGAGAAGCUGCAGAGCAACCUGUCGAGGUUCAUCGUCAUCAUGUGGGUCUUCGUCGUCCUGAUCCUGACGUCGAGCUACACGGCGAGUCUGACGUCGAUGCUGACCGUCCAGAAGCUCCUGCCGACGGUGACCGACGUGAGGGAGCUCCAGAGAAACGGCCACUACAUCGGGUACCAGGAGGGCAGCUUCAUCGAAUCCUCGCUCCAGAAAAUGGGCUUCGACCAGAGCAGGAUGAGGAAGUACAACUCGUCCAAGGGGUACGCAGACGCGCUAUCCAGAGGCUCGGCGAAGGGCGGGGUCGCCGCGGUGUUCGACGAGAUCCCGUACCUGAAGCUCUUCCUGUCGGAAUACUGCAAGGACUACAUGAUGGUCGGGCCCAUCUACAAGACUGUCGGCCUGUCAUUUGUGUUCCCGAAGGAUUCUCCAAUGACGGGGGACGUGUCGCGGGGUAUACUGACGCUGGCGGAAGGAGAGAAGAUGUCCAAGAUCGAGAAGGCGUGGUUCGGGGAGCCGGAUGCGUGCCUGCAACAGAGCAGCGCCGAGGUCGCCCCGUCGUCCGGCCUAAGAUUCAAGAGCUUCGGAGGGAUAUUCCUCCUAACCGGCCUGGCCUCCGGCCUCACGCUGCUCGUCUACCUCGCCACCUUCGCCAUCCGCGAGCGCAGCGGGCUCCGGGCAGCCGAGGCCACCGCCGGCUCGGGGUCCGGGAGCGUGCCGCUGUGGAAGCUGCGUGCGUGGCUGCAGCACUAUGACACGAGGGACCUCCGGUCCCCCACCUUCAGGACGCGGCACGACGAGUUCAACGCCUGCGACUGCGCCAACCGGACGCCCACAUGGAACGACGAGAGCGUGAGGAACGGCGGGACGAGUCCGUUCAGCGUGCGUGUCAACUCGGAGAUGAAUGCCGCUUCUUCUCUGGAGAACACGCCGGCGUCAGAGGCGGGCAACUCAUUGGAGCAGGGGGUUGAGGGGGCAACGACCUCUGCGGAGAUGGCCACGUCAACAGUGCCUCAACUGCACCGCUAG